CGGGAGGCAGCAGUGGGGAAUCUUGGACAAUGGGGGCAACCCUGAUCCAGCCAUGCCGCGUGUGUGAAGAAGGCCUUCGGGUUGUAAAGCACUUUCAGUAGGGAGGAAGGSUUAUCCUUAAUACGGAUGAGUACUUGACGUUACCUACAGAAGAAGCACCGGCUAAUUUCGUGCCAGCAGCCGCGGUAAUACGAAAGGUGCGAGCGUUAAUYGGAAUUACUCGGCGUAAAGCGCGCGUAGGCGGUUUGCUAAGUCAGAUGUGAAAGCCCCGGGCUCAACCUGGGAACUGCAUUUGAAACUGGCAGGSUAGAAUGCAGUAGAGGGAGGUGGAAUUUACGGUGUAGCGGUGAAAUGMGUWGAGAUCGGAAGGAACACCAGUGGCGAAGGCGGCCUCCUGGACUGACAUUGACGCUGAGGUGCGAAAGCGUGCGGAGCRAACAR
This 441-nucleotide ribosomal RNA is filed under the name uncultured marine bacterium. Its description in RNAcentral is "bacterial SSU rRNA". It matches the Rfam family "Bacterial small subunit ribosomal RNA", at positions 342 to 775 of the family's 1533-position model. The record is from RNAcentral.